RNAcentral lists this ribosomal RNA (478 nucleotides) under uncultured bacterium. Its description in RNAcentral is "partial 16S ribosomal RNA". It matches the Rfam family "Bacterial small subunit ribosomal RNA", at positions 28 to 523 of the family's 1533-position model. The record is from RNAcentral.
GACGAACGCUGGCGGCGUGCUUAACACAUGCAAGUCGAACGGUAAGGCCCUUCGGGGUAUACGAGUGGCGAACGGGUGAGUAACACGUGGGUGAUCUGCCCUGCACUUUGGGAUAAGCCUGGGAAACUGGGUCUAAUACCGAAUAUGAUCAUCGGCUUCAUGGUCGGUGGUGGAAAGCUUUUGCGGUGUGGGAUGGGCCCGCGGCCUAUCAGCUUGUUGGUGGGGUAAUGGCCUACCAAGGCGACGACGGGUAGCCGGCCUGAGAGGGUGACCGGCCACACUGGGACUGAGAUACGGCCCAGACUCCUACGGGAGGCAGCAGUGGGGAAUAUUGCACAAUGGGCGCAAGCCUGAUGCAGCGACGCCGCGUGAGGGAUGACGGCCUUCGGGUUGUAAACCUCUUUCAGCACAGACGAAGCGCAAGUGACGGUAUGUGCAGAAGAAGGACCGGCCAACUACGUGCCAGCCGCCGCGGUAA